This 402-nucleotide ribosomal RNA is filed under the name uncultured bacterium. Its description in RNAcentral is "bacterial SSU rRNA". It matches the Rfam family "Bacterial small subunit ribosomal RNA", at positions 355 to 775 of the family's 1533-position model. The record is from RNAcentral.
UGGGGAAUAUUGCACAAUGGCGGAAACUCUGAUGCAGCGACGCCGCGUGAAUGAUGAAGGCCUUCGGGUUGUAAAGUUCUGUCCUUGGGGAAGAUAAUGACGGUACCCAAGGAGGAAGCCCCGGCUAACUACGUGCCAGCAGCCGCGGUAAUACGUAGGGGGCGAGCGUUGUCCGGAAUUAUUGGGCGUAAAGGGUUCGCAGGCGGUCUGAUAAGUCAGAUGUGAAAGGCGUAGGCUUAACCUAUGUAAGCAUUUGAAACUGUCAGACUCGAGUUAAGGAGAGGAAAGUGGAAUUCCUAGUGUAGCGGUGAAAUGCGUAGAUAUUAGGAGGAAUACCAGUGGCGAAGGCGACUUUCUGGACUUAUACUGACGCUGAGGAACGAAAGCGUGGGGAGCAAACAG